RNAcentral lists this long non-coding RNA (210 nucleotides) under Phoenix dactylifera (date palm). RNAcentral's name for it is "long non-coding RNA (PDAC_LNC010538)". Lineage: Eukaryota; Viridiplantae; Streptophyta; Magnoliopsida; Arecales; Arecaceae. The record is from RNAcentral.
UUUCGGGUACUUACAACCCUGGAUAGAAGAACCAUCCAAAUUUCAGGUGGAGGAAUGACCAACCUCAACAAGUAUAUAACCCAACUCCCUCACCUCCGCAACCUCAUUAUGCACAUGCACCCCCUCAAAAAUCCAGUCUCGAAGAAACUUUGCAAUCUUUCAUGCAAGGUCAAGCUAAAAUCAAUGAUGAAAUAAGAAAUCAACUAACAA